UAGAGCGGCGGACGGGUGAGUAACACGUGGACAAUCUGCCCCCCGGCCCGGGAUAGCCCAGGGAAACCUGGAUUAAUACCGGAUGAGACGGGACCCGCGAUGGCGGGAGUCCGGGAAAGGCGCUGCGGCGCCGGCCGGGGGAUGAGUCUGCGUCCCAUUAGCUAGGACGGCGGGGUAACGGCCCACCGUGGCGACGAUGGGUAGCCCGGCCUGAGAGGGUGGACGGCCACAUUGGAACUGAGACACGGUCCAGACUCCUACGGGAGGCAGCAGCUAAGAAUCUUCCGCAAUGGGCGAAAGCCUGACGGAGCGACGCCCGCGUGAACGAAGAAGGCCGUGAGGUUGUAAAGUUCUUUUCGGGAGGGGGAACAACCGUGGCAGGGAAUGGCCGCGGGAUGACGUGAAUCCCGGAAUAAGCCCCCGGCUAACUACGUGCCAGCCGCAGC
RNAcentral lists this ribosomal RNA (446 nucleotides) under uncultured bacterium. RNAcentral describes it as "bacterial SSU rRNA". It matches the Rfam family "Bacterial small subunit ribosomal RNA", at positions 91 to 518 of the family's 1533-position model. The record is from RNAcentral.